GCAGUUCCCACACCACUGCCACUGGCAGGAGGUUGAGUGGCAAUUCCCAAACAGCUGCUCUCUGCUCAGGCGCCGGGCCGCCCCCUGCCCAGUCCUUGCAGGCCGCCAGCCCCCCUCCAGCCGGGGCCGUGGAGCACCGGGGCAAAGGCCCGGCCCCCCCCAUGAAGGAGCGCGACGCGGCCCCGGCCGAGCGGGGCAAGCCGGCCACCUACACCGGGGACAAGAAGGCGAAGAUGGCGGCCAAGACCAACAAGAAGUGGGUCCGGCUCGCCACCGUGUUCGCCCUCGUGCUCUCCGUGUCGCUGGCCGCCAUCGUGCUCGCCGUCUACUACAGCCUCAUCUGGCAGCCGGUGGGUGCCGGGACCUCGGGGGGAGCCGCCGGCCCGCCCCCCGGCGGCUCCAACGCCACCGGCCCGCCCCCCGGCGGCUCCAACGCCACCGGCCCGUCCGUGACUUGGUGAGCGGCGGCGGUGACGGGGCCCAACACCACCGGGUCGUCCCGCCGCGGGACGCUCCCCCACUGCAGGGGGCGCGGCCGGCGCCUCCGGAGCUCCCUGCGGACAGCCCCCCGGUCGGGCCGCUUGAGCGGCCUCGGGGGCCGGACGAGGACGAGGAGGAAGCGGCGGCGGCGCCCGGGAGUCGUUGAAGCCCUCGGCGCUGGGGGCGGCCGGGAACCAUCCUCCCCAAGCCGAGAGGAAGGACUUCGCAUCAGGAUGGGGUGGAGAGCCCGCGGGAGUGACCCCCACGGGAGUGAACGCCCCCCGAACUCCCACCAUCGCCGGCUGGUCCCGGAGCUGGCGGCCCGCAGCCACAUCUUCAGCCAAGGGACCACGAUUCUCCGGGGGCCUGGGGGGCUGGGGGGCUGCUGCCCAGGACCGGGCGGCACCAGGGCCCUGAGCCCUAGGGGGAUGGGGGAGGGGUGGGGAGAUCCCAGCACCAAAACCUUCUGCGCCGCUAGGUCUGGUGUAUCCUACAUGCAGGGGUGACUCGGGCUUUCCCCCAAGACUCAGGGGAAGGAGGGAGCUGUAGGAGCUCUUUUUAAGUAAGCUGAAGCUCUCGAAAGGAGGAGGGCACCAAAAGUAGUGGAGCUCAGGUACAUCAACCUAGUUUCAGUGGUCAGAGAUGCAUUAAAUUUCUAGAUCCCUGUAUAUAGUUGCUGACAUAUGCACUAGAAGCUAUAAUCACAUAGAAUUCUAUGUAUAUCCUCCCACACCCUGGGUAGCUACUGACUGAAGGGGCCAAGCAAGGGCUAUUUGCUGGCCCCCAAAGUACACCUGGCCGGAAGGGCACAAACACGGCUUCUUAAAAUCACUCCCUCUUUCCUCUCUUCCCCUUCUAUUUCUGAAAGACAAGUUUAUGACGUUCUUACACAAGAGAGUAUAAUCAUUCUUAGACUGUUAACAUGGCUGUGGAAAGCCUUAGGAGAAGUAG
RNA transcript from Sapajus apella (tufted capuchin), 1431 nucleotides. It is a transcript of the gene named putative transmembrane protein INAFM2, with no coding region annotated. NCBI's taxonomy places the organism in Eukaryota, Metazoa, Chordata, Mammalia, Primates, Cebidae. The record is from RefSeq and is a predicted model, not a curated record. The transcript has a single exon.